Molecule: transfer RNA, 74 nt
Filed under: Pseudomonadota bacterium
Lineage: Bacteria; Pseudomonadati; Pseudomonadota
Also listed under: 4 other names
Description: tRNA-Val
Rfam family: tRNA
About the family: Transfer RNA (tRNA) molecules are approximately 80 nucleotides in length.
Source: RNAcentral
GCGCGUGUAGCUCAGUUGGUUAGAGCGUUUGCAUGACACGCAAAAGGUCCCCCGUUCGAGUCGGGGCACGCGCA